CAUGCAAGUCGAGGGGCAGCAUGNAACUUAGCUUGCUAAGUUUGAUGGCGACCGGCGCACGGGUGAGUAACACGUAUCCAACCUGCCGAUGACUCGGGGAUAGCCUUUCGAAAGAAAGAUUAAUACCCGAUGGCAUAGUUCUUCCGCAUGGUAGAACUAUUAAAGNAUUUCGGUCAUCGAUGGGGAUGCGUUCCAUUAGGUUGUUGGCGGGGUAACGGCCCACCAAGCCUUCGAUGGAUAGGGGUUCUGAGAGGAAGGUCCCCCACAUUGGAACUGAGACACGGUCCAAACUCCUACGGGAGGCAGCAGUGAGGAAUAUUGGUCAAUGGACGAGAGUCUGAACCAGCCAAGUAGCGUGAAGGAUGACUGCCCUAUGGGUUGUAAACUUCUUUUAUACGGGAAUAAAGUGAGGCACGUGUGCCUUUUUGUAUGUACCGUAUGAAUAAGGAUCGGCUAACUCCGUGCCAGCAGCCGCGGUAAUACGGAGGAUCCGAGCGUUAUCCGGAUUUAUUNGGGUUUAAAGGGAGCGUAGGCGGACGCUUAAGUCAGUGGGAAAAGUUUGCGGCUCAACCGUAAAAUUGCAGUUGAUACUGGGUGUCUUGAGUACAGUAGAGGCAGGCGGAAUUCGUGGUGUAGCGGUGAAAUGCUUAGAUAUCACGAAGAACUCCGAUUGCGAAGGCAGCUUGCUGGACUGUAACUGACGCUGAUGCUCGAAAGUGUGGGUAUCAAACAGGAUUAGAUACCCUGGUAGUCCACACAGUAAACGAUGAAUACUCGCUGUUUGCGAUAUACAGUAAGCGGCCAAGCGAAAGCGUUAAGUAUUCCACCUGGGGAGUACGCCGGCAACGGUGAAACUCAAAGGAAUUGACGGGGGCCCGCACAAGCGGAGGAACAUGUGGUUUAAUUCGAUGAUACGCGAGGAACCUUACCCGGGCUUGAAUUGCAACUGAAUGAUGUGGAGACAUAUCAGCCGCAAGGCAGUUGUGAAGGUGCUGCAUGGUUGUCGUCAGCUCGUGCCGUGAGGUGUCGGCUUAAGUGCCAUAACGAGCGCAACCCUUAUCGAUAGUUACCAUCAGGUUAUGCUGGGGACUCUGUCGAGACUGCCGUCGUAAGAUGUGAGGAAGGUGGGGAUGACGUCAAAUCAGCACGGCCCUUACGUCCGGGGCUACACACGUGUUACAAUGGGGGGUACAGAAGGCAGCUACACGGCGACGUGAUGCUAAUCCCGAAAGCCUCUCUCAGUUCGGAUUGGAGUCUGCAACCCGACUCCAUGAAGCUGGAUUCGCUAGUAAUCGCGCAUCAGCCACGGCGCGGUGAAUACGUUCCCGGGCCUUGUACACACCGCCCGUCAAGCCAUGAAAGCCGGGGGUACCUGAAGU
This 1379-nucleotide ribosomal RNA is filed under the name bacterium NLAE-zl-P403. Its description in RNAcentral is "16S ribosomal RNA". It matches the Rfam family "Bacterial small subunit ribosomal RNA", at positions 54 to 1427 of the family's 1533-position model. The record is from RNAcentral.